CUUAAAAGGAAAUCACAAGCCUUGUGAAAAAAUUAGAACUAUUUCUUCCUUCCCUUAUAUGGUCUACUGGUGUCACUUAACAAACUCUUCAGUCUGUGACCUUGAGAAACCUAGAGGCUAAAUAGGUGGAAUAGAAUAUUGAAGGUCAUCCCCUCGCCCACCACCCAAAAAGAAGAGCAUAUAUUCAACCUAACAGGAAAUUAUCUGGGCAGAGUGGACUGCAGGAACCCAGGCCCUACAGUGGAAAAGAAAGGGAUGUACUAGAGGGACAAGAGAAGGCUGGUGGUGCCCACUGAAGAAACUGAUGGUAAGUCAUUUGCCUCUAAGAGAGUCUGUGGUUCUUGGGAUACAACACAAAUUAAGUCAGUAGCGCAUGCAUAUUGCGUGAAAUUCAAAAGCAUCAAAGGACAGUGAAAAGUGCAUUUUUCUUC
This 431-nucleotide long non-coding RNA is filed under the name Callithrix jacchus (white-tufted-ear marmoset). RNAcentral describes it as "lncRNA (ENSCJAG00000076888.1)". The record is from RNAcentral. Lineage: Eukaryota; Metazoa; Chordata; Mammalia; Primates; Cebidae.